GUAGAAGUUCAGAGUAGACCGCUCGUAGUAGAAGUUCAGCUCUCACAAGAGCCCGAUUAGAAUCUUGAAGACGGUCGACCGUCGUAGAAACUCGGAUGGAGUCCAAUUUCUGUAGAAACCUCAUUGUCGAAGAAGCUCGGAUAUUGACAGAGUCCGAAAGAAGUUCGAAGAAUAGUUGAUCACUGUAGAUGGUCGGCUGGUGGUGAGGCCCAGAGAGCUUUUGGGGCG
This 228-nucleotide long non-coding RNA is filed under the name Elaeis guineensis (African oil palm). RNAcentral describes it as "long non-coding RNA (EGUI_LNC050284)". Lineage: Eukaryota; Viridiplantae; Streptophyta; Magnoliopsida; Arecales; Arecaceae. The record is from RNAcentral.